CGCACGUGAGAACGUCGUGCUCGCGUGAACUGGUAACCAUAGCAACACCAGGCCGACGAUUUAAGUGUUUCAAAUUGAGGAAUUGUUUUUUUCGUUCCUUAGCAGUUACACAGAACAGCUACAGAGAAAAGACUUCAGGUCAAAGAGACACCUAUCGCCAUGAACGCAGUAAAGCUAGUGAAGUUAGAGAAAUCCUGCUGUCCUGGUCACUGCAGGUCCCGAGCAGUUUUCAGAUUACUCAUUAAUAUGCACGGGACAGAUGGAAACAACAGAGCUUCAUCGCCAGCUGCCUCCAUCAUCCAUCCAGUUGGUGAGGAACAUCAUCAGAUGAAAUGUCACACAGACACUCAAGAACGCAGCUCUCCAGAAACCGAGAAGCAGAUGGACGACACCAUCUUACAGACUCAACGCAUGGAAAUAGACAAUGAGCAAUCCGAGAGACCUUUCCAUCAGAAGGAACAAAGCCUUUUGAGAAGAGCCAUCAAAAUACUACUCAUCUUCUUCAUUAUUUUGGGAAUCUUUGUUAUUUUCAUGAUUGCCAGCCAAUAUGUUUAUGUGGAGUGGGAAAGAAUCGUAAGGGCACUGAGUUUUAACAAAUGCAUGAAUAGCUUUGUAAAACUGCGCUUUAGUGGAAUGUACAACCCACCCAUAUGAACAUAUGAACCCACAUCACCUUCAGCACUCAAUAAAGCUUAUCAAAAAGCGUCCUUUUGUGAUUUGUUUUU
Carassius carassius (crucian carp) is the source of this 725-nucleotide long non-coding RNA. RefSeq lists it as uncharacterized. NCBI's taxonomy places the organism in Eukaryota, Metazoa, Chordata, Actinopteri, Cypriniformes, Cyprinidae. The transcript has 3 exons. The record is from RefSeq and is a predicted model, not a curated record.